This 372-nucleotide ribosomal RNA is filed under the name uncultured organism. RNAcentral describes it as "partial 16S ribosomal RNA". It matches the Rfam family "Bacterial small subunit ribosomal RNA", at positions 527 to 896 of the family's 1533-position model. The record is from RNAcentral.
GUAGGUGGCAAGCGUUGUCCGGAAUUAUUGGGCGUAAAGCGCGCGCAGGCGGUUCUUUAAGUCUGAUGUGAAAGCCCACGGCUCAACCGUGGAGGGUCAUUGGAAACUGGAGAACUUGAGUGCAGAAGAGGAAAGCGGAAUUCCACGUGUAGCGGUGAAAUGCGUAGAGAUGUGGAGGAACACCAGUGGCGAAGGCGGCUUUCUGGUCUGUAACUGACGCUGAGGCGCGAAAGCGUGGGGGAGCAAACAGGAUUAGAUACCCUGGUAGUCCACGCCGUAAACGAUGAGUGCUAAGUGUUAGGGGGUUUUCCGCCCCUUAGUGCUGCAGCUAACGCAUUAAGCACUCCGCCUGGGAGUACGGCUGCAAGGCUG